CCAUAUACGGCCUCUGCAUGCGCGCUAGCAGCGAGCGAGAAAGAGAGAGAGAGAGAGAGAGACAGAUAUACACGCCAUACCAUCGUGUUGCAGAGACUUGGAUAGUUCAGUCCCACGUCCAUACAUUCCUCCUAUCUAUAUGUAUGUGUGUGUGUGUGUGUAUAUAUUAUGAGGGGGCGCGGGCUCUACCCCGUCCUUUUUCUUCUUUAGAUAUGAAUCCUUCGCUGAUAAUCUUACAGGAUAUCCACGUUCCAAUAUACGUUUAAUAUCGUAUCGCACUCAUUCUCUCUCUCUCUUCGGAAACUUGCCGCGAGACAUUCGAGAGGAGAUUUACUCCCGAAUCUUUCCGGCGAGCCGUGUAUUAUUGCCACGGGUCUCCAAUUACAAUUUUUAAUCUUGGCUCAGGAUCUCGUAUGAGACGACACUCGUUGCACGAUGAUGUUGGAACUGCUCGUUCGCAGCUUGUCAAAAUCAGAUGCGAGAGCUUUGCGCAAUUUUUCGAGUAUGAAUAACGCGUAGAUUAACAAAACAGGAGAAUCGGUAAACGCGCCUUUCCCGAUGUAUACUAAUCGUAAUCUCCCGUCUCUCCCAAAGCCGCAGAAAGCCGCUCCUAGAAACGUCGCGUCGCCCGUUCGUGGAAGUAGAAAAGAGAACAAAAAAAAAAAAAAAAAAAAAAAAAAAAAUGAACCAUAUAGGAGAGAUAUCCCAAGUGCGUAGCCCGGCCUCUCCCAAUGAGAUCGGUGCAUUACAUCAACUUUGUCACAAUCUCGGAGCGGCGUGUCUUAGAAUGCAUAAUUAAUAUUCUCUAUCCGCUUUUCCGAUACGCGCCGACCGCUAUGCUCAAGGCGUGAACGUACAAGGGAAGAUCGGUAAUCGCAGACGACGAACACUAAUAGUCUCGAUAUCUCCAAAUCAGUGACAUUGCAAGGCCACGUAAUGUGAUUCUUUUCUCGGCGAACUUUUUUACAGCUAGAACGCCGAUGGAAGUGUCAUUAGAUAAUCGCCAUUGACAAUUAAUGCUAUCAACGGUGCGCCAGUUUGUCCUUACAAGUCGCUAUAAAGAGAACGCACACGAUUGCGAAGCGUUUAAAUGCCCGGAAAAGAGAGACAAGAUAGCAUGCCCCAGUCGCAAAGAUACAGAUUGAGUCUAUUACAAUCGACGACGUUUAUUACAUUUUACUUCGAGAACAAGAAUCGUAUAUAGUAAACAGGUGCAGGAAGGUGGCAAGCUAAUCUUAAUUAAUUCAAAUGCAAAAGCUAAUAAAUAAAAUCAUGUUCCAUCGUUUACAAAUCACCUUUCGUCGGAAGAAUUAUCGGCAAUGGAAUAGAAUAAGCCCCGCAUACAUCGAAUUCAAGGUGUGAUCGUCGAUGGAUCGAUCGCACGGAUAUGUCGAGGCCCCGAUUUUUUAGUGUUCUCCCACGGACUUUGCCUUCUAUGCCCUGUCAAGCGCCUACACGCAUGUACACGUUGAUAAACGCAAAAGUAACGUUGACGUCACGCGUCCAUACAUGGUCCUCAUCGUGAAAACCAUGUGGGUGUCGCGCGUUAUAAAUGAUUUCAUCUUGAACUUCUUUUCUCUCUAUGCUCAGCAUCCUUCUUCCAUUUUUAUCCCCGAUCGCACCUGUAAUCUGUAGAUAGGAAAAGGGACUACCGAGACCUAUAAUACGAUCGUUAUAAGUACUAUAUGAUAUAUAAAUGCACCAGAAUGCGAUCAAUGCACAAUCACAUUCUUCUCAUAGUAAAUAUGUUGACAUACUUACACAUAUUUACGAUUUCUUAUGUAUAAUUUCCUUUUAUUUUAUAUACGAUAACAAUAUCCUUUUUUAGUUUAUUUAUUUUUCUUUAACAUAUACACAGUUUCGGAAAUAAUUUCUUAAUUAGCUCUGUUUUAUUACUCCAUUUAUAAAAACGCAAGAUAGAAUCAGAAUUAGGAAAUACCUCGUAAUAUAUAUAUAUAUAUAUGAAAAUCCUGUGACAUAUUAUUUCGUGAUUCACGAUUAGUGUAUAUAUAAAUACGCGAAACAAAUAACGUUACACAUUAUAGUAUUAUAUAUAAAAAUAAUGUACAAUUGUACAAUUGUAUAAACAAUAAAUAUAAUUGUUUAUACUGUAAUUGUACAAUUGCAGAAACAAAUAUUGUAAUAUUAUUUGUAUUGUAAUUAACAGUAUAAACAGAGUAUUACAAUUGUUAUUGUAGGUAUAUAUAUAUAUAAACUCAUAAGCAAAAAAAAAAAAAAAAAA
Long non-coding RNA from Formica exsecta, 2242 nucleotides. RefSeq lists it as uncharacterized. The transcript is spliced from 4 exons. The record is from RefSeq and is a predicted model, not a curated record. NCBI's taxonomy places the organism in Eukaryota, Metazoa, Arthropoda, Insecta, Hymenoptera, Formicidae.